UGGAGUGCUAGCUCAGUUGGGAGAGCAUUUGCCUUACAAGCAAAGGGUCAGGGGUUCGAGUCCCUUGCACUCCACCAUGCCGACUUAGCUCAAUAGGUAGAGCAACUGACUUGUAAUCAAUAGGUUGUGGGUUCAAUUCCUAUAGUCGGCACCAU
This 155-nucleotide transfer RNA is filed under the name Ureaplasma urealyticum serovar 12 str. ATCC 33696. Its description in RNAcentral is "tRNA-Thr". The stretch from base 2 to 74 matches the Rfam family "tRNA". Lineage: Bacteria; Bacillati; Mycoplasmatota; Mycoplasmoidales; Mycoplasmoidaceae. The record is from RNAcentral.